UGGCGGACGGGUGAGUAAUGUCUGGGAAACUGCCCGAUGGAGGGGGAUAACUACUGGAAACGGUAGCUAAUACCGCAUAACGUCGCAAGACCAAAGAGGGGGACCUUCGGGCCUCUUGCCAUCGGAUGUGCCCAGAUGGGAUUAGCUAGUAGGUGGGGUAACGGCUCACCUAGGCGACGAUCCCUAACUGGUCUGAGAGGAUGACCAGCCACACUGGAACUGAGACACGGUCCAG
Molecule: ribosomal RNA, 235 nt
Filed under: uncultured bacterium
Lineage: Bacteria
Description: partial 16S ribosomal RNA
Rfam family: Bacterial small subunit ribosomal RNA
Source: RNAcentral